This 500-nucleotide ribosomal RNA is filed under the name uncultured bacterium. RNAcentral describes it as "partial 16S ribosomal RNA". It matches the Rfam family "Bacterial small subunit ribosomal RNA", at positions 30 to 523 of the family's 1533-position model. The record is from RNAcentral.
AUUGAACGCUGGCGGCAGGCCUAACGCAUGCAAGUCGAGCGGAUGAGAGGAGCUUGCUCCUUGAUUCAGCGGCGGACGGGUGAGUAAUGCCUAGGAAUCUGCCUGGUAGUGGGGGACAACGUUUCGAAAGGAACGCUAAUACCGCAUACGUCCUACGGGAGAAAGCAGGGGACCUGCGGACCUUGCGCUAUCAGAUGAGCCUAGGUCGGAUUAGCUAGUCGGUGGGGUAAUGGCCCACCUAGACGACGAUCCGUAACUGGUCUGAGAGGAUGAUCAGUCACACUGGAACUGAGACACGGUCCAGACUCCGACGGGAGGCAGCAGUGGGGAAUAUUGGACAAUGGGCGAAAGCCUGAUCCAGCCAUGCCGCGUGUGUGAAGAAGGUCUUCGGAUUGUAAAGCACUUUAAGUUGGGAGGAAGGGCAGUAAGUUAAUACCUUGCUGUUUUGACGUUACCGACAGAAUAAGCACCGGCUAACUUCGUGCCAGCCGCCGCCGUAA